GCUGGCGUAGCUCAGUGGUAGAGCAGCUGCCUUGUAAGCAGCAGGUCGUGGGUUCGAUCCCCACCGCCAGCU
Molecule: transfer RNA, 72 nt
Filed under: Acidimicrobiia bacterium
Lineage: Bacteria; Bacillati; Actinomycetota; Acidimicrobiia
Also listed under: 1 other name
Description: tRNA-Thr
Rfam family: tRNA
About the family: Transfer RNA (tRNA) molecules are approximately 80 nucleotides in length.
Source: RNAcentral